CCUACGGGAGGCAGCAGUGGGGAAUUUUGGACAAUGGGCGAAAGCCUGAUCCAGCAAUGCCGCGUGAGUGAAGAAGGCCUUCGGGUUGUAAAGCUCUUUUGUCAGGGAAGAAACGGUGAAGGCUAAUAUCCUUUGCUAAUGACGGUACCUGAAGAAUAAGCACCGGCUAACUACGUGCCAGCAGCCGCGGUAAUACGUAGGGUGCAAGCGUUAAUCGGAAUUACUGGGCGUAAAGCGUGCGCAGGCGGUUUUGUAAGUCUGAUGUGAAAUCCCCGGGCUCAACCUGGGAAUUGCAUUGGAGACUGCAAGGCUAGAAUCUGGCAGAGGGGGGUAGAAUUCCACGUGUAGCAGUGAAAUGCGUAGAUAUGUGGAGGAACACCGAUGGCGAAGGCAGCCCCCUGGGUCAAGAUUGACGCUCAUGCACGAAAGCGUGGGGAGCAAACAGGAUUAGAUACCCUGGUAGUCCACGCCCUAAACGAUGUCUACUAGUUGUCGGGUCUUAAUUGACUUGGUAACGCAGCUAACGCGUGAAGUAGACCGCCUGGGGAGUACGGUCGCAAGAUUAAAACUCGAAAAGUAGUAGUUACGGACGNGAGAGACGACGACGACGGACGACGACGGAGGGAGGAG
Molecule: ribosomal RNA, 630 nt
Filed under: uncultured bacterium
Lineage: Bacteria
Description: bacterial SSU rRNA
Rfam family: Bacterial small subunit ribosomal RNA
Source: RNAcentral